GAUGGUUUCGGAAAAGUUGAUGGCGAGCACUGGAUCGGGCUCGAAAGGUUGCACCAGUUGAUGAAGAAUAAAAAUAUGACCUUGAUGGUGGAGUUCGUGGACAUCGAUGGCAAUUAUAAUUAUGCCAGUUAUAACAGUUUUGCUGUUGGUAAUGAGGAUGAGAAGUAUGAGCUGAAACGACUUGGAGAGUUUGCAGGAUCUACGGGCGAUUCGAUGAGAUCUGGAGAGAAACAAAGGUUCACAACGCGGGAUAGUGAUAAUGAUAAGUUUGGCCGCAAUUGUGCACGAGACAAAGGUGGUAUGCUCAUUGUGGCGGCACUAACCCAAACGGACCAUUCCGCAAGCAACACAGCUGGAAGAACAUUUACUGGAUGAAACACAGAAGUGGAGUUGAGUUGAAAUUCUUCAGAAUGAUGAUUAAACAAACAUAAGUUCAUGAAAAGUUUACACAGUUACCAUAUAAUAUGUAUCAUAUUGAAUAAAGUAAGGUUCUAAUUGCAU
Aedes albopictus (Asian tiger mosquito) is the source of this 501-nucleotide long non-coding RNA. RefSeq lists it as uncharacterized. The record is from RefSeq and is a predicted model, not a curated record. The transcript is spliced from 2 exons. NCBI's taxonomy places the organism in Eukaryota, Metazoa, Arthropoda, Insecta, Diptera, Culicidae.